Molecule: RNA transcript, 2816 nt
Organism: Balaenoptera acutorostrata (minke whale)
Lineage: Eukaryota; Metazoa; Chordata; Mammalia; Artiodactyla; Balaenopteridae
Gene name: KIAA0930 ortholog
Exons: 10
Source: RefSeq, a predicted model, not a curated record
GGCGCGGCGCGGGCGAUGAGCCGGGGCCCGGCAUGGCCUCCGCGCGGCCGCCGGGCCGGGCCUGCGCCUCGGCGCCCGCGCCCGCGGGGCUCCGGGCCGGGCCGCCCGCCCUCCCCUCCGCCGCCGCCGCCGCCGCCUCCCCGGAGCCUGCGGGCGGCGCGGAGGCCGAGGAGCGCUCGCUGCAGCACAUGCUGUGCGCCAUAGCCGAGGAGCGCGGCCGCCUCAGCCUGCGCCGCGAGGUCUGCGGCCUCGGGUGCUUCAAGGAUGACCGCAUCGUCUUCUGGACUUGGAUGUUCUCUACCUACUUCAUGGAGAAGUGGGCCCCGCGGCAAGACGACAUGCUCUUCUACGUGCGCCGGAAGCUGGCGUACGUGGGCAGCGAGGGCGCCGUCGACGGGCGGAAGCUGGCUGAGGCCGAGCCCGAGGUGGAGGUGGAGGUGUACCGGCGGGACUCCAAGAAGCUGCCGGGCCUCGGAGACCCUGACAUCGACUGGGAGGAGAGCGUCUGCCUGAACCUCAUCCUGCAGAAGCUGGACUACAUGGUGACGUGUGCUGUGUGCACACGGGCUGAUGGGGGCGACAUCCACAUCCAUAAGAAGAAAUCCCAGCAAGUGUUCGCAUCCCCCAGUAAACAUCCCAUGGACAGCAAAGGGGAAGAAUCCAAGAUCAGCUACCCCAACAUCUUCUUCAUGAUCGACAGCUUCGAGGAGGUGUUCUGCGACAUGACCGUGGGCGAAGGAGAGAUGGUCUGUGUGGAGCUGGUGGCCAGUGACAAAACCAACACGUUCCAAGGGGUCAUCUUUCAGGGCUCCAUCCGCUACGAGGCGCUCAAGAAGGUGUACGACAACCGCGUGAGUGUGGCGGCCCGCAUGGCGCAGAAGAUGUCCUUUGGCUUCUACAAGUACAACAACAUGGAGUUUGUGCGCAUGAAGGGGCCACAGGGCAAGGGCCACGCUGAGAUGGCAGUCAGCCGUGUGUCCACCGGUGACACGUCCCCCUGCGGGACCGAAGAGGACUCCAGCCCGGCUUCGCCCAUGCACGAGCGGGUGACCUCCUUCAGCACUCCCCCAACGCCUGAGCGCAACCACCGGCCCGCCUUCUUCUCCCCGUCCCUCAGGAGGAAGGUGCCCCGGAGCCGCAUGGCGGAGAUGAAGAAGUCUCACUCGGCCAACGACAGCGAGGAGCUCUUCCGGGAGGAUGACGGGGGAGGUGACCCUGCCCCUCCCCGGGCUCCUUGCUCCCCUCCUCCGCAGUUAGAGAGCCGGCAGCCGACCUGCACAACGCCACCAACCUGCGGUCUCGGUCCCUGUCCGGCACGGGGCGCUCCCUGGUCGGGUCCUGGCUGAAGCUGAACAGAACAGACGGGAAUUUCCUUCUUUAUGCACAUUUAACCUACGUCACUUUGCCGCUGCACCGGAUUUUAACAGACAUCCUGGAAGUACGGCAGAAGCCCAUCCUGAUGACCUAGCCGUGAGCGGAGCCCACGCGGAGCCUCCAGCCCUGCCCAGGCCUGGGGGCGCUGCCAAGUGCCUACCUGUCCACCGCCACUGGGGUCUUCCAGGACCACCCAGCGCCGCAGCCGGAGCCAGGCGGGACCACUCGACUCCCGGGGCCGGGGCCAGCUCCACCAACACCAGCCCAAACUGAAGUGCCUCGUUCUCCUCCCCGCUGGCUCUGCUCCUGCCCCUGCGCCCACCCACCCGGCACCCUCCGCCCAUCUCUGGAGAACCCUCUGCACCCAGAGAGGACCAGAGAUGCCAAGAGGCAUAAGAGAGAGCAGAGGAGCAGCCAGCAUCCAGAAGAGUCCAGCCCUACGGACCCGAUGUACGCAUCCCGACAGACAGCAGGCAGAGACCAUUGGCUGGGGGCACGCGGUGUGUCAGACUGUCAGCACUUAAGGAACAGCGGUUUCAGGUUUUGUGACACUGUACCGAUGACCUUCAGCGUCCAAGUUAGUCCCGAUCGUCUGUCCUCCCUCGUUUACUCCUGGUUGUAGAUGGGUUUCCGCGGGGAGCGGGGAACACGGCUGUCUGAUGGUGUUGCCCUGGGCUGGGAAUACCUCGCCCCGUGCCCGGCCCCAGACAGGCCCCCACCUGCCAGCAUGGCCUUUGCUUCCAGCCAAAGAACAUCAUCACCAACACACACCCCUCCAGCGCGGGGACAGCCAUCCUGUCCGCGCCUCAGCUGGCGUGGCCUGCACAGUUUGGAUUCUGAGGGCAGGAGGGAGGGCUUGGUAGCCAGACAGGAGAAGGGUGGGGUCCCUGCCAAAGGGCAAGGAGGGGUCUGCGUUCUCCCGGGAAGGUUCCAGGCAGAACCUCCGUCCCCUGGGGCCGGGGGAGGGGACAGGGUGUUUCAUCUUCCCUGGUUUCCUAGAGCUCAUUUCCUUUGACUGGGCGUGCUGGUCCCAUUUCUCAGACCAGUCACUGAGGCAAAGGGGAACUGGCUUCCACGUGGCUUGUCAGACCUCGUUCCAGCUUGAAGCGUUUCCACCUAUGGUGACACAUUGUGCUGUUCUCAAAACCGCGAGCCUCCUCAAGAACAGAAGUGUUUCCCCUGCCCACGGGAGUCAGCCGUCAGCUGGGUCCCUGCUGCUCUGUUUUGCUUGCGUCCUCAGGAGUGUUUGUUUGAAGGGUUCCUGGUGUACUAGGGUUAGAGAUCCUCUGGGGGAGAAGAGGGAGAGGAGGAGGGGCUUGUUUUCCCGUCCGUUUCCAUUCUGCGCGUUCUGAGGGUUUGCGCUGGGCUCCAGGAACCGGGGACUACUUUCGGGCUUCUCCAGAUUUUGUAUGCUGUUAUUAAAAGCGAGCUACUGCAUUUCA